UAAGUCGUAACAAGGUUUCCGUAGGUGAACCUGCGGAAGGAUCAUUACAGAAAGUAAACGCGGAUCCAAACCGCGAACUUCUAAACCUUUGACGAUUGACUCAUGUUGCCUCGGCGGGUUCUCCCGCCAGAGGAUACAUCAAAACUCCUGUUUUAACGGUGUUGUCUGAGCUACAAGCAACGAAUCAAAACUUUCAACAACGGAUCUCUUGGUUCUGGCAUCGAUGAAGAACGCAGCGAAAUGCGAUAAGUAGUGUGAAUUGCAGAAUUCAGUGAAUCAUCGAAUCUUUGAACGCACAUUGCGCCCCUUGGUAUCCCGAGGGGCAUGCCUGUUCGAGCGUCAUUUCACCACUCAAGCCUGGCUUGGUGUUGGGCGACGUCCCCUUUAGGGACGCGCCUCGAAACGCUCGGCGGCGUGGCACCGGCUUUAAGCGUAGCAGAAUCUUUCGCUUUGAAAGUCGGGGCCCCGUCUGCCGGAAGACCUACUCGCAAGGUUGACCUCGGAUCAGGCAGGGAUACCCGCUGAACUUAAGCAUAUCAAUAAGCGGAGGAAAAGAAACCAACAGGGAUUGCCUCAGUAACGGCGAGUGAAGCGGCAACAGCUCAAAUUUGAAAUCUGGCUCUUUUAGGGUCCGAGUUGUAAUUUGUAGAGGAUGCUUCGGCGUCGGCUCCGGUCUAAGUUCCUUGGAACAGGAUAGGGGGGG
RNAcentral lists this ribosomal RNA (703 nucleotides) under uncultured Cenococcum. RNAcentral's name for it is "eukaryotic LSU rRNA". The stretch from base 189 to 342 matches the Rfam family "5.8S ribosomal RNA". The record is from RNAcentral. Lineage: Eukaryota; Fungi; Ascomycota; Dothideomycetes; Gloniales; Gloniaceae.